RNAcentral lists this ribosomal RNA (1244 nucleotides) under Flavobacterium sp. Its description in RNAcentral is "bacterial SSU rRNA". It matches the Rfam family "Bacterial small subunit ribosomal RNA", at positions 32 to 1302 of the family's 1533-position model. The record is from RNAcentral. Lineage: Bacteria; Pseudomonadati; Bacteroidota; Flavobacteriia; Flavobacteriales; Flavobacteriaceae.
AAAGAAUGCGGCUGCUUACACAUGCAAGUCGAGGGGUAUAGGAAGCUUGCUUUUUUGAGACCGGCGCACGGGUGCGUAACGCGUAUGCAAUCUACCUUUCACAGAGGGAUAGCCCAGAGAAAUUUGGAUUAAUACCUCAUAGUAAUACGACUUGGUUUCAAUAUGUAUUUAAAGAUUUAUCGGUGAAAGAUGAGCAUGCGUCCCAUUAGCUAGUUGGUAUGGUAACGGCAUACCAAGGCUACGAUGGGUAGGGGUCCUGAGAGGGAGAUCCCCCACACUGGUACUGAGACACGGACCAGACUCCUACGGGAGGCAGCAGUGAGGAAUAUUGGACAAUGGGCGCAAGCCUGAUCCAGCCAUGCCGCGUGCAGGAUGACGGUCCUAUGGAUUGUAAACUGCUUUUAUACAGGAAGAAACACCUCUACGUGUAGAGACUUGACGGUACUGUAAGAAUAAGGAUCGGCUAACUCCGUGCCAGCAGCCGCGGUAAUACGGAGGAUCCAAGCGUUAUCCGGAAUCAUUGGGUUUAAAGGGUCCGUAGGCGGUCAGGUAAGUCAGUGGUGAAAGCCCAUCGCUCAACGGUGGAACGGCCAUUGAUACUGCUUGACUUGAAUUAUUAGGAAGUAACUAGAAUAUGUAGUGUAGCGGUGAAAUGCUUAGAGAUUACAUGGAAUACCAAUUGCGAAGGCAGGUUACUACUAAUAUAUUGACGCUGAUGGACGAAAGCGUGGGUAGCGAACAGGAUUAGAUACCCUGGUAGUCCACGCCGUAACGAUGGAUACUAGCUGUUGGGAGCAAUCUCAGUGGCUAAGCGAAAGUGAUAAGUAUCCCACCUGGGGAGUACGAACGCAAGUUUGAAACUCAAAGGAAUUGACGGGGGCCCGCACAAGCGGUGGAGCAUGUGGUUUAAUUCGAUGAUACGCGAGGAACCUUACCAAGGCUUAAAUGUAGAUUGACCGGUUUGGAAACAGAUCUUCGCAGACAAUUUACAAGUGCUGCAUGGUUGUCGGUCAGCUCGUGCCGUGAGGUGUCAGGUGAGUCCUAUACGAGCGCAACCCCCUGUGUAGUGCCAGCGAGUCAUGUCGGGAACUCUACGAGACUGCCAGUGCAACUGGUGAGAAAGGUGGGAUGACGUCGAGUCAUCACGGCCUACGCCUGGCUUACCACCGUGCUUACAUGCCCGUACAGAAGCAUCCAUGGACGACAGACCGAAUCUUACGAACCCGUUCACAGUUCGAAUCCGA